CCCUCCCCCGCCCACCGCCUCAGCAACCAACCUCCAGGGAGGGGAAAGGGGGCAGAAGUUUGAGUUAAUAACUAAUAGCUAAAGAUGUAAACAAUAAGCCUCCAUAAAACCCCAAAAGGACUGGACUGGUUUCUGAGAGCUUCCAGGUUGUUGAGCACGUGGAGGUUCUGGGAGGGUCCACACCCAGAGAAGGCAUGGAAGCUGACCCCUUCCCCAUACCUUGCUCUUUGCAUCUCUUCCAUUUGGCUGUUCCCGAGUUGUAUACUUUGUAAUAAGUGGGAUUUCCACCCAACAACAAUUCAGCCACACUGCUUCACACAUCUAGAAUCCAUCCAAAAUUGUAAAGGCUUUGUGGCACUACAGUGAAACAGGCAAGAACAUCUUCCAAACAUCCAGCACAAGAGCACACAGGAGGCCGGCAUAAUCACGAAUUGCAGCUGUCUGAAGGGCAGUCACAUAAAAGAGGAGAAGCUUCACCUUUGCUUCACAAGGCACAUCUUGAACCAGGGAUGGAAAUUACAGAGAGGCCAAAACCAGCUCGGUGUGAGCAGGACUGGUAACAGACUGGCCAAGCAACAGAAGGGGCUGCCCUGUGAAGAAGCAAGCUCUCUGUCAAUGGGAGGUGCAAGCUGAGCCUGCACUACCUUUUGUCACGGUUGCUAUGGAAAAGAUUAAGAGCCCGGUAUUAACUAUCUAUUGCUACAUAACAGAAUACCACACAACUUAAAAGCUUAAACAACACAUUUUUAUCAUGUCACAAUGUUUGGGGUCAGGGAUUCUGGAGUGGCUUAGCUGGGUGGGGUCUCCGGGUUGGUCUCUCGUGAGGCUCCAGUCUAGAUGUUGGCUGGGGAUGCAGUCGUCUGUCAGCUUGGCGAGGGCUGGAUGAUCUGCUUCCGGAAUGGCCCACUCACAUGGCUGUGGGAAACAGGCCUCAGCCCCUCUCCAUGUGGCUUCUCCAUAGGGCUGCUUGAGUGUCUGCAUGACAUGGCAGCUGGCUCCCUGAAGAGCACGUGAUCCGAAAGAGAGAGCAAGACAGAAGCGCAGUGUCUUCAACAGCAUAUCUUUGAAAGUCAUAUUCCACCGUUUUCACUACAUUCUAUUGAUAAGAUAGCCCUUCCUCCUCUGGGGGCCUGGGCAUCAGCAAGUCGGAUGGCAGUGGAAGGUGGAGAAAUGGAAUCCUGCUGGGGGCUCAGGAGGCCUGCCCCCUGAUGCUGCCGUGCACUGCAGAUGUCCUUGAUGAAGAGAAUGAAUGGAAGCUGUCUUUCUCAAUGGCAAAAGGGCAUACUGCUGUUAUUGUCAGUGAGGGGUCAGUAGUUUAAAUGAUGAAACUCUGGGGAUCAGCGUAAAGUAAACCAACAUACUGCAUGUAAAUUCCUCAUUCUUACUGCUGUGAGAACAAUUGUUAGGAGCCAAAAACUUCAGAGCUUUCAAAGAACUGUAAUGAGAUAGCACAAUGCAGGCAAAAAGCCAGUGUUAACGGAGCAAGAAACUUCCCAGUUCUGACAUUCACAGCAUGACCUAGAGCAUGCGGAUUCCCCUCUCUGAGUCACUGGUUUCUCACCUGCAAAAGAAAGCGGGGACAGGGAAGGAGGAAGAAGCUUCGAGAGGCUGGAACAGUUGAGGGAGCGCUGACACGGUAAAGGCCACUUUGCUCAUCAUCACCAGGCGUGCUGCCGAAAAUUUCCACUCUGUUUACUCCCAAGACCUUACUCCUACUAUGUGGAGACACAUUUGAAUAAAAAAUUGGCCUCUUUUCAAAGUCAAAAUUCUGAGCCAGCUUGAAGGGAUUGUUUUUGGUCAAACCUGCAUCAAUUUGGGCAUCAAAAUAAAUAAUGCUACCAAUUUAUUGCACCCUAUUGAAUAGAAUAGCAAGUCAUGAGUCUAUGUUCAUAUAAAUAAGUAAAACUGAGGAGAAGGGAAAGCUCUCUUUUAUAGUAGAAAUCCAUCUAAUAGGUGUAGAAGAAAAUGAUAAA
Molecule: long non-coding RNA, 1973 nt
Filed under: Homo sapiens (human)
Lineage: Eukaryota; Metazoa; Chordata; Mammalia; Primates; Hominidae
Description: HSALNT0316865
Source: RNAcentral